GGAGAGGUGGCCGAGUGGCCGAAGGCAGCUGCCUGCUAAGCAGUUGACCUCGAAAGGGGUCCCUGGGUUCGAAUCCCAGCCUCUCCGCCA
RNAcentral lists this transfer RNA (90 nucleotides) under Candidatus Zixiibacteriota bacterium. Its description in RNAcentral is "tRNA-Ser". It matches the Rfam family "tRNA". From Rfam's summary of the family: Transfer RNA (tRNA) molecules are approximately 80 nucleotides in length. Their secondary structure includes four short double-helical elements and three loops (D, anti-codon, and T loops). Further hydrogen bonds mediate the characteristic L-shaped molecular structure. tRNAs have two regions of fundamental functional importance: the anti-codon, which is responsible for specific mRNA codon recognition, and the 3' end, to which the tRNAs corresponding amino acid is attached (by aminoacyl-tRNA synthetases). tRNAs cope with the degeneracy of the genetic code in two manners: having more than one tRNA (with a specific anti-codon) for a particular amino acid; and 'wobble' base-pairing, i.e. permitting non-standard base-pairing at the 3rd anti-codon position. Lineage: Bacteria; Pseudomonadati; Candidatus Zixiibacteriota. The record is from RNAcentral.